GGGUACUCGAGUGGCGAACGGGUGAGUAACACGUGGGUGAUCUGCCUUGCACUUCGGGAUAAGCUUGGGAAACUGGGUCUAAUACCGGAUAGGACAGCUGUUUAGUGUCAGUUGUGGAAAGUUUUUUCGGUGCAAGAUGAGCUCGCGGCCUAUCAGCUUGUUGGUGGGGUAAUGGCCUACCAAGGCGUCGACGGGUAGCCGGCCUGAGAGGGUGUACGGCCACAUUGGGACUGAGAUACGGCCCAGACUCCUACGGGAGGCAGCAGUGGGGAAUAUUGCACAAUGGGCGGAAGCCUGAUGCAGCGACGCCGCGUGGGGGAUGAAGGCCUUCGGGUUGUAAACUCCUUUCGACAGGGACGAAGCGUAAGUGACGGUACCUGUAUAAGAAGCACCGGCUAACUACGUGCCAGCAGCCGCGGUAAUACGUAGGGUGCGAGCGUUGUCCGGAAUUACUGGGCGUAAAGAGCUCGUAGGUGGUUUGUCGCGUCGUCUGUGAAAUUCCGGGGCUUAACUCCGGGCGUGCAGGCGAUACGGGCUGACUUGAGUGCUGUAGGGGAGACUGGAAUUCCUGGUGUAGCGGUGAAAUGCGCAGAUAUCAGGAGGAACACCGAUGGCGAAGGCAGGUCUCUGGGCAGUAACUGACGCUGAGGAGCGAAAGCAUGGGUAGCGAACAGGAUUAGAUACCCUGGUAGUCCAUGCCGUAAACGGUGGGCGCUAGGUGUAGGGAGCUUCCACGUCUUCUGUGCCGUAGCUAACGCAUUAAGCGCCCCGCCUGGGGAGUACGCCGCAAGGCUA
This 795-nucleotide ribosomal RNA is filed under the name uncultured Actinomycetes bacterium. Its description in RNAcentral is "bacterial SSU rRNA". It matches the Rfam family "Bacterial small subunit ribosomal RNA", at positions 85 to 896 of the family's 1533-position model. The record is from RNAcentral. Lineage: Bacteria; Bacillati; Actinomycetota; Actinomycetes.